UAUGGUAAUGGCCAGCCGCCGCGGUAAUACGUAUGGAGCAAGCGUUAUCCGGAUUUACUGGGUGUAAAGGGUGCGUAGGUGGCAGUGCAAGUCAGAUGUGAAAGGCCGGGGCUCAACCCCGGAGCUGCAUUUGAAACUGCAUAGCUAGAGUACAGGAGAGGCAGGCGGAAUUCCUAGUGUAGCGGUGAAAUGCGUAGAUAUUAGGAGGAACACCAGUGGCGAAGGCGGCCUGCUGGACUGUUACUGACACUGAGGCACGAAAGCGUGGGGAGCAAACAGG
RNAcentral lists this ribosomal RNA (280 nucleotides) under Anaerobutyricum hallii. Its description in RNAcentral is "partial 16S ribosomal RNA". It matches the Rfam family "Bacterial small subunit ribosomal RNA", at positions 497 to 776 of the family's 1533-position model. The record is from RNAcentral. Lineage: Bacteria; Bacillati; Bacillota; Clostridia; Lachnospirales; Lachnospiraceae.